GCAGUGGAAGUGACUUCUCAGCCUAAGGGAGUCCAGCUGGAAGGAAGGUCUGGUCUUCUCUCGUCUGAGCCCUGAGUACUACGACCUGGCAAGAGCCCACCUGCGUGAUGAGGAGAAAUCCUGCCCGUGCCUGGCCCAGGAGGGCCCCCAGGGUGACCUGUUGACCAAAACACAGGAGCUGGGCCGUAACUACAGGACCUGUCUGAUGAUAAUCCAAAGACUGAAGGAUAUGGUGGAGGAUCAGCCCACCCAGGUGAGGCCAAGGGGCUACAGAGCCUCCUGUCUGCUGCUCAAUGGAGGGGCCAGCCUGUGACCAGGUCGGGGAUCGGGGAGCCCGGGGGCACCUUGCACAGUGAUCCUGGGGGAGGGCUUCCGAGAAGGGAAUCUGUGAGUCCCCGUGUGUCUGUGGAUGAAUUUCAGAGAACUUGUGAAAUUGUGACUCUCUGGAACUGUGUAAGUCAGACGGCAGAGUAUACAUGGUUUUCAUCAUGUAUCCUCAAAGAGGGCUUGUCCCAGAGAAGUUAGGAAUCUUCCCCUAAAGCCCUAACGUUUGUGUCCAAGGCAGAGUUUGAGAAGCUAGUUCCCCAAGAGGCCUGGGUCAGGACUGAUAAAUCCCAGAUCUGCUACUUCCAAGCUGCAUGGCCUUGGGCAAGUCACUUCCACUUUCUGAGCCUCUGUUAUCUUAUCUUUGAAAUGUGAUGGAUAAUAGUCCCUAUCUUGCAAGUUGUCAAACCCUUUUUUUUUUUUUUUUUUUUCCUUGAGAUAGGAUCUUACUCUGAGACCCAGGCUGGAGUGCACUGGUGUGAUCUUGGCUCACUGCAACCUCUGCCUCCCUGGCCCAAGCAAUUCUCCUGUCUAAGCCUCCUGAGCACCUGGGGCUCCAGGUGUGCGCCACCAUGCCCAGCUAAUUUUUGUACUUUUGUAGAAACAGG
Molecule: small RNA, 932 nt
Filed under: Pan troglodytes (chimpanzee)
Lineage: Eukaryota; Metazoa; Chordata; Mammalia; Primates; Hominidae
Description: retained intron
Source: RNAcentral